Non-coding RNA from Pelobates cultripes (western spadefoot toad), 222 nucleotides. The record is from the annotation of a GenBank genome assembly. Lineage: Eukaryota; Metazoa; Chordata; Amphibia; Anura; Pelobatidae.
AGACAGUGGACACUGGUCUGGGGAGCAUUGGAGACGGUCGGUAAUCUCACAGAAUACCACUGAGGCAGCGAGGGAGUAUGGAGGUGGCCGGCAAGCAAUGCAGGCAGACGCCAAGGGAGCAGUUUCUGUAGUGAUGUUGGUGCGUGAGGGAGCAAUGCAGGAACAUUAGAGAGCAGCCCCAAUGGACCCCAGGGACAAGAUCUACUUCAGCUCUCCGAAAGG